Acanthosepion pharaonis is the source of this 111-nucleotide non-coding RNA. The record is from the annotation of a GenBank genome assembly. Lineage: Eukaryota; Metazoa; Mollusca; Cephalopoda; Sepiida; Sepiidae.
AUACGGUCAUAUCACGUUGAGACACCGGUUGUUGUCCGAUCACCGAAGUUAAGCAACGUCGAUCUUGGUUAGAACCGAGUUGAGUGACUGCUGGGGAAUACCAGGUGAUGG